This 561-nucleotide long non-coding RNA is filed under the name Elaeis guineensis (African oil palm). Its description in RNAcentral is "long non-coding RNA (EGUI_LNC022358)". The record is from RNAcentral. Lineage: Eukaryota; Viridiplantae; Streptophyta; Magnoliopsida; Arecales; Arecaceae.
UCAGAAGUGCCGCCCGCGGCUUGCAGCUGUCCAAGAUGUCUAUAAAGGUGAUCUUUUGUCAUGGUGCUGGAAACAAGUGUUGUUGAAAGGAAUGCCAAAGGAGACAUCAAAGCUCUAGCUUGCUUCCAUAUUAUCUCUUCUUCUCUUCCUAUCUCCCUAACCUUAGUCUACAUCGGUGUGUCUUUUGUUCAACAUAAGCCCAAUUAAAUAGGUAGGAAGAUCAUGCAGCAAUUACAUGAUGGAAAAUUCUUUAUGCACCACGGAUGGUGCAGAACUACAUGCAUUGCUCGCGAUGAUUGAUUCAUGCAUGGAGUCAGAAUGCGAUGUGUAAAAAAAGAAAUUUUUUUUUGACCCCGCGUGAGAACCAAUCAUCGCGGAUGGUGCAUGCGGUGCUGCACCGCCUGUGGUGCACAAAAAAUUUCUCUUACAUGAUCCGAGCAACCGGCACCCAAUACCUUAUUAUCUUAAGUUUUCUCGCCAAUAUAGGUGAUUUUGGAAGAAAAUCAUAUUAAUAUAGGUACGUGAUCGAUCACAUGCUGGUUUAUACUGGCAGAAGGUACU